GACUGUCUGUCUGUCAUAUGUCUGGCUCAGACUGUCGGGUCGGGGUAUGACACUGGAGGUGAAAGCAUUUUCUCCAAAUUAGAUAUGUCAAUCAAAUCUCAAGUUAGUACUCCUUUCAAGGCUAAAGGCAAAGGAAUGAUAGCUGUAGAAGUGAAGGCGUGGAAUUCAUCAAUGAUAUUCUUCUUGUUGAAACUUUGAAACAGAAUCCACUAAGCGUUAGCCUGAUGAUGCAAAAAGAUAUUCUCUACUCUUUAAUGGAGAUUCCUACACCACAUAUGAUAAAGAAAUAAAAGCCCAAGGAUAGCAAAAGUUAACAUCGAGACCA
This 325-nucleotide long non-coding RNA is filed under the name Elaeis guineensis (African oil palm). RNAcentral describes it as "long non-coding RNA (EGUI_LNC045579)". Lineage: Eukaryota; Viridiplantae; Streptophyta; Magnoliopsida; Arecales; Arecaceae. The record is from RNAcentral.